UUGGUUUAAAUCAUUGUGGGUCUACACCUUAAAAAUUGAACUCACACAAAGUAGUUGGACAUACAUUGAUUUCAUCUAA
RNAcentral lists this microRNA precursor (79 nucleotides) under Medicago truncatula (barrel medic). RNAcentral's name for it is "MIR5269 microRNA precursor family". It matches the Rfam family "MIR5269 microRNA precursor family". Lineage: Eukaryota; Viridiplantae; Streptophyta; Magnoliopsida; Fabales; Fabaceae. The record is from Rfam by way of RNAcentral.